This 459-nucleotide ribosomal RNA is filed under the name uncultured bacterium. Its description in RNAcentral is "partial 16S ribosomal RNA". It matches the Rfam family "Bacterial small subunit ribosomal RNA", at positions 338 to 795 of the family's 1533-position model. The record is from RNAcentral.
CCUACGAUGGGCUGCAGUGAGGAAUAUUGGUCAAUGGGCGCGAGCCUGAACCAGCCAAGUCGCGUGAGGGAGGACGGUCCUAUGGAUUGUAAACCUCUUUUGUCGGGGAGCAAAAGACGCCACGCGUGGCGUUCCGAGAGUACCCGAAGAAAAAGCAUCGGCUAACUCCGUGCCAGCAGCCGCGGUAAUACGGAGGAUGCGAGCGUUAUCCGGCUUUAUGGGGUUGAAAGGGUGCGCAGGCGGAAGAUCAAGUCAGCGGGCAACUUGAGAGGCUCAACCUCUUCGAGCCGUUGAAACUGGUUGUCUUGAGUGAGUGAGAAGUAGGCGGAAUGCGUGGUGUAGCGGUGAAAUGCAUAGAUAUCACGCAGAACUCCGAUUGCGAAGGCAGCAUACCGGCGCUCAACUGACGCUCAUGCACGAAAGUGUGGGUAUCGAACAGGAUUAGAUACCCUGGUAGUC